This 3466-nucleotide long non-coding RNA is filed under the name Triticum aestivum (bread wheat). RNAcentral describes it as "long non-coding RNA (TAES_LNC001801)". Lineage: Eukaryota; Viridiplantae; Streptophyta; Magnoliopsida; Poales; Poaceae. The record is from RNAcentral.
AUCACUGCCCAGUAAAUAUCAAUGUGAGCGAAAUCAGAAGUGAUGGUAUGAACAUAGUCAAAACUGUUUUCAUCAACUGAUCAUUUGCAUGUACAUUUGGCACUGUGCUCUGUACACAAGCUAGAAAGGUUCUAUAUGACUGGUGAAUCCUUUAAAAGGCGGAUGCCAAUCGCAAUAUGCUAGAGAAACAAGGCCUGGGAGUGUCUACGAGCUGAGAAUGUUCAGGAGUAAAACCCUGCUUUGGAUCAGUCUCCUGAACAGAAGCUCCGCACCGUUCUCAAGAUCUCCCAUGCUUCGCUCUAGCACCUGCAACUGUUCCUCCUCGCAAACGACCUUUCUUUUCUGGAUAAGAGACCAUUUGCUUCCUUUGGUAGUGGCGAACUGCUUCGGCAACAGCUGCGAUGUGGACUCGAGUAGAGAGACAGACAUCUCUCUGGCUUCCGCCAGUAGCCUGAUCAGCCUGCAAUCCUCACCACUAGCUUUGCUGCUUGUGAUCUUCUUGAAAGGCUUCUGAGCCUGCUUCGCCAGGCGAAUGAAGGACUCAACCUUGAGUUGAACAGCCGCAUCAUCUCCUCUUUUGAGAACCAGUUGCAGCUCCUGGGUACUCAUCUUCAGCUCUGCUAAAUUCUCUUGCAUGGAAUUGCAAAGAUCAAUCAGCACGAGGGAUCGCUCCAGUUCCUCUUCCACCAUUUUCUUGUUUUGGGGGAAGGAGAGGCCAACUUGGUUGCUGGGCAAGCCCAUGAUCUCCUCUAUGCAGUUGUAGAUGUCUCCAAGCCUUGCAUAACCACCACACAUUGUGUCGAUGGUUGCGGAGGGUGAAGAGAUGCAUGACUCCAGGCCCUGCAGCUCCACCUCCACUUUGGAUUCACUGGAGUGGGCGAUAGAAGGCAAACUUGCAGAUCUUUGAUGGCAAGCCAUGUUUCUAAUGGAUGAGCUGAUGAUGUGUUUCUGUUUGUAGUGCAAGAGAAAGUGAAGGGCAGGUGUGCUUUCUUGGUGCUCGACCAUUGUGGUGGACUCUAUUUAUAGUCAAGAAACAAAAGCAGUCUUGCUGGCAAAGCCAGUUAGGCAGCAAGAGUAUUGUGCAUAACCAUCUCUGUCCAAUACAAUCUUGUUAGGAGACAAGAAUCACUAAGUGCAUGCCAUGUCUUAACAAUUGGCAGCAAAGCAUCAGCACAAUGCUUAAGGCAGAAUCCAGAUCACCAAACAGAGACAAAAUAAACUAGAAUGCAAGUCAUGCGGCUGAGGUGUAUGUUGAAGGACUAGAAGACUUCACCUUCCAACAGCCUGUCAAUUUGGUUCCGAUAGUUGCACCUUCGCCCCAAUUGCCGUGAAGCACUGUUGCUGUGCUGGUAUGUCUCUGCUACCUGCGGCAUGAUCCACCACACAUGCAUUAUAAUCAUCAAUAGAUGCUUCACUUCUUCUCAUGCAACAUUUACUCGUUUAGAACAUAAGCGAAAACUAACUCAUAAACGUCACUGGAACGGGUUCUAGCUUGCAAAAUUCUAGAUAUUCUGCUUCUGUAAGAAAUAUGUUGUGUUAUCCUUCAGUAGCAGAAGUAGAGGUGCACAAUUUGGCCAAUUGCAUGAGAAAUUUGAGAAUAAGGCACAACGGAUUGAUAUACAGACAGAAAGUAUCUCUAUCUUGCAGAUCCCAUGUACUCACAUGGCCACCACAGCCUCAGCCAAGUUGGUACCUUUGUCUAUCUUAGUUUAAAACAGCACGCGUUGCUAAAUUACUAAACAGUGCAGCCUUGACAUAUUCCAAACGUAGGCAAACUACUACAGGAAGACAAAUCGCUAUUUUUGUAUUUCCAAUCUGUCAUGUUUCAAUUAUGUCCGGCAAAAUGGACUGCACGAGUACCCAGAGUUGUUUUCUGCUAUAAGGUGGUGGGCAAGAAUCGCAGUUCAUGAGAGGAAAAGUUGAGACACAGAACCUCCAAAAACGUGUUCAAUGCUAAUAUGGGCCAGUCAGCUUCAAGAUAAGCAUGAACCUCACGGAGUACGACUGACAAGUUUUAUCCACCUACAGUAAGAUCCAAUUAUUGUUUCAAGAGUACUUCAUAAUAUAGAUAAGGAAAUAAAUGCAUCCAACUAGUGUUCCCUAUGUGUCAUUUUUCAGCUGUUCGAGAGAGAAAAAACGGAAUGCACGGUCGAUAAUCUGGGUGCGGUAAUAGAGAAAGUUAACUCUUUUUUCUGUCUUGGACACAAAGUGACAAUGUGUCCUAAUUUCACCGAGAAGAGAAUAUAGAACAACUUCGAUUGAAUAAAUUACCGGUCUAUCUCGCUUAAUACUGCAGAUUUCUGUUUUAACCUACUAACAGCCCAGAUGACAACAAACAACUGUUAGAAUGUGCAGUCUUCACGAGAACUGGAUGAGGAGAUAAAUUAAUAUAUCUAAUUAGUGUUUCCUAACUGUCACGUUGCAGUUGACCCUGAGAGAAAAAUGGAAUGCACGGGGGUUCAUGUUUGAUUUGGCCAUAGCACCAGUGAGAAAGAUUAAUGAAAGCAUAGGAUACAUCCGAUUACAUCUCAUAUGGCUAGUGCACCUAAUGUUUUCCCUAGGACACAGUGUCUAUAAGUUGUUAAGAGAGAGGAAAGGAGUUGACUUAACCUACAGAAGCACACUCAGUCCAGGUAACAUCUAGAUAAGCAUGAACUCAACACCUCGUGGAGCAUCGCUGUCUUGUUUCAUCAACCUGCAACAAGAUCCGCCGCAGAACAGAAGGAUCAGCAUUAUUCUUGACCAGCCGAAAAAGAAACUCGCUUAAAGAGGUGUGAGAUAACUUCACGUGCAAUAGAAUAUCAGCUGAGCUAGUGGUUAGUAUUGCCUCUAUUCAGAGGAUCUAAAUAAUUGUUGGCAUGUGUUUGAUUAAGUCCAGUACAUCUGCUGGGCAUAAUGUGCUUCUACCUUAUGCUAGUGAUCAGGCUAAUAAUGAGUGGCUAUCACAUGGCCCAGAGCUAGCAUGUUCAUGGUUGUUAAGAGUAUUGUAGGCAAACGAUAAUGGCGCCGAUUGACGUAACAUGGCCGUUUCAAAGGUAAGAUCAAAUAAAAAUCAUACAUGUCUACAACUUAUAGCUAGAAAUAAUUACACAUAAAGCUCCUACCAAAGUUCAGAACGAUUAAUAUUCACCUAGACUCUGCAUGCCGUUUUCUGAAGAGGAAUUUCCUUUUCGGUUCCUUAGCAUUCAUCAUAUACUUGAAAGAGAACAUAUCGACAUGACAUUCAGCUAAAAAGAAAAUCUAAAUCACCGGCCGGUAAAGAUCGGUGAAAUCACAAAUAAUGAUAUGGGCAUAGUCAAAACUGCUUUCGUCAACUGAUCAUUUGUAUGUACAUUUAGUAGUGUACCCAGUACACAAGCUAAAAAGGAUCUAUAUGACUGGUGAAUCCUUUAAAAGGCAGAUGCCAAUCGCAAUAUGCUAGAGAAACAAGGCCUGAGAGUGUCUACGAGCUGAGAAUGUUCAGGAG